UUCAGGGAAUUCCAGCAAGCUGGGUAUACCGCAAACACCCAGAAAUACCCUUGUGCUGUCAGGCCUGGAAUGGGUAUUGCCAUCACAGUACUUGAACAUUCAGUUGCUCCAUCUCAGAUGUUCCCCAGUCCACAAAGCAAAACCACCUACCUUCCUGAUCCUUCUGGCCACGGAAGCAGAUCUGGCCACAAGAUCUUCUGAAGUCUCAUCUCCUGGUUUCUGAGUCUGCUACGAACUGCUUAAGACAGGAAUUUCUCAAUGACAAAUUGUGGGCAAACUGAUGACAUUCCUUGUGCCCAUCUUACUUGACUUGGAGCUUUUGUAUUGCUGCUGUAUUUGUCCACAUGCUGAAAACCAACAGAAGUAUAUCACAUUAUUUCUUUAAAUAAAAUAAACAUAUGAAACAAAAGCCACCAAAAUCAAAAUAAGAAGGCAAAUCAUCAAGUUAGUGAUGCCAAGUGAGGAAGAUUCUGCUUAGUUGCUAUGACAAAACCAGAGAAAAAGACACAUGGUUGAUAGAAAAUGAUGUCACUUCUAGUGUCUAUUCCUCAAUUCUUUUCUGUGUUUUUAUCCCACCCGGGGAAGAUUUGAGAGGAGAAAAAGGAGUUGUAUGUGUUUGUUCUGUUUUACAUGUAUCUUUGUGUUACAGCACAAUAUAUGCACACAGGCAUUUAAUACAAAUUAAUAGACUUCCAGAGAAUUAAUUUCUAUCAUAAGAUUUCCUCUUUAUGAUUGCCAAUUUGGCAGCCUCCUGCAGUGCUUAAUAUUACAUCUGCUUAACAGGCCAGAUGAUAAUACUGUGAACUCUACCAAAAUUAUUUGCUGAACAAUGGAGCAGGUGGCUGUGAAAAUAAAUGUAUUACUGAAAAGGAACAUUACUGAACCUUCCAUAUGAUGUAAAAUCACAUA
Molecule: long non-coding RNA, 909 nt
Organism: Lagopus leucura (white-tailed ptarmigan)
Lineage: Eukaryota; Metazoa; Chordata; Aves; Galliformes; Phasianidae
Exons: 5
Source: RefSeq, a predicted model, not a curated record